Molecule: unclassified non-coding RNA, 380 nt
Filed under: Hevea brasiliensis (rubber tree)
Lineage: Eukaryota; Viridiplantae; Streptophyta; Magnoliopsida; Malpighiales; Euphorbiaceae
Source: RNAcentral
UUAUCAGAGAGAAAAAGAAAUACCCAAGGCUCCAAGUUAAACAUUCAACAUCAUAUUCCAGCAAAUUUGAAAAGAAAGUGACACUCACCCAAUGCCCCAACCCAUUAGAAAAGGUACCUCAAUUAAAAUGUGCAUCAGGCAGAGUAAUGUAAAUGACAUGAUCAAACAAAUUUGACCACUUUAGAAAAAAAAAAAUUAUAUAAAUUUCUGGCGCUUUUUCCUUCUCCAAAUAAACUUUGAAGGCCAACCAUAUUAAGGCUUCCCAAAAUUUUCUUUCAAACCAUUUUGGAUCUUCAGCAGCACAUUCCAAUUUUAAAAAAUUGACUACAACAACAAUUUAUGGCUACCAAGAAGGCAUUACCUUAGCAGCAUCCUCAGGA